RNAcentral lists this long non-coding RNA (238 nucleotides) under Setaria italica (foxtail millet). Its description in RNAcentral is "long non-coding RNA (SITA_LNC004592)". The record is from RNAcentral. Lineage: Eukaryota; Viridiplantae; Streptophyta; Magnoliopsida; Poales; Poaceae.
ACACCUCCUCCAGGAUGUAUGCCUCUGCAAUGGAUGCUUCAAUUUUGCAUUUAUUUUUACAUUUAGUUCGAAGAACCUUUUGACAUCUCUCAAUUGAAUAGCACCAACGGCCCUGCACAGGCCCCCCCCCCAUUCGUGCUUCAUACGGGAGGUGCAGAAUCAUAUGCUGCAUCGGAUUGAAGAAGCCGGGUGGAAGAUCUUCUCCAACUUACAAAGCAAGACAGGCGCCAUUCUUUCC